Molecule: ribosomal RNA, 427 nt
Filed under: Centipeda artemidis
Lineage: Bacteria; Bacillati; Bacillota; Negativicutes; Selenomonadales; Selenomonadaceae
Description: bacterial SSU rRNA
Rfam family: Bacterial small subunit ribosomal RNA
Source: RNAcentral
GACGAACGCUGGCGGCGUGCUUAACACAUGCAAGUCGAACGGAGCGAAUGAAAGCUUGCUUUUAUGAGCUUAGUGGCAAACGGGUGAGUAACACGUAGACAACCUGCCGAUCAGAUGGGGACAACAUUCCGAAAGGAAUGCUAAUACCGAAUGGCGUGUAGGGGAGGCAUCUUCCCUACAUGAAAGAUGGCCUCUAUAUAUAAGCUAUCACUGAUCGAUGGGUCUGCGUCUGAUUAGCUAGUAGGUAAGGUAACGGCUUACCUAGGCGGCGAUCAGUAGCCGGUCUGAGAGGAUGAACGGCCACAUUGGGACUGAGACACGGCCCAGACCCCUACGGGAGGCAGCAGUGGGGAAUCUUCCGCAAUGGGCGCAAGCCUGACGGAGCAACGCCGCGUGAGUGAAGAAGGUUUUCGGAUGUAAGGCUCUG